This 2479-nucleotide ribosomal RNA is filed under the name Staphylococcus aureus T72838. RNAcentral's name for it is "bacterial LSU rRNA". It matches the Rfam family "Bacterial large subunit ribosomal RNA", at positions 439 to 2925 of the family's 2925-position model. Lineage: Bacteria; Bacillati; Bacillota; Bacilli; Caryophanales; Staphylococcaceae. The record is from RNAcentral.
GGAAUCUGGGAGGACCAUCUCCUAAGGCUAAAUACUCUCUAGUGACCGAUAGUGAACCAGUACCGUGAGGGAAAGGUGAAAAGCACCCCGGAAGGGGAGUGAAAUAGAACCUGAAACCGUGUGCUUACAAGUAGUCAGAGCCCGUUAAUGGGUGAUGGCGUGCCUUUUGUAGAAUGAACCGGCGAGUUACGAUUUGAUGCAAGGUUAAGCAGUAAAUGUGGAGCCGUAGCGAAAGCGAGUCUGAAUAGGGCGUUUAGUAUUUGGUCGUAGACCCGAAACCAGGUGAUCUACCCUUGGUCAGGUUGAAGUUCAGGUAACACUGAAUGGAGGACCGAACCGACUUACGUUGAAAAGUGAGCGGAUGAACUGAGGGUAGCGGAGAAAUUCCAAUCGAACCUGGAGAUAGCUGGUUCUCUCCGAAAUAGCUUUAGGGCUAGCCUCAAGUGAUGAUUAUUGGAGGUAGAGCACUGUUUGGACGAGGGGCCCCUCUCGGGUUACCGAAUUCAGACAAACUCCGAAUGCCAAUUAAUUUAACUUGGGAGUCAGAACAUGGGUGAUAAGGUCCGUGUUCGAAAGGGAAACAGCCCAGACCACCAGCUAAGGUCCCAAAAUAUAUGUUAAGUGGAAAAGGAUGUGGCGUUGCCCAGACAACUAGGAUGUUGGCUUAGAAGCAGCCAUCAUUUAAAGAGUGCGUAAUAGCUCACUAGUCGAGUGACACUGCGCCGAAAAUGUACCGGGGCUAAACAUAUUACCGAAGCUGUGGAUUGUCCUUUGGACAAUGGUAGGAGAGCGUUCUAAGGGCGUUGAAGCAUGAUCGUAAGGACAUGUGGAGCGCUUAGAAGUGAGAAUGCCGGUGUGAGUAGCGAAAGACGGGUGAGAAUCCCGUCCACCGAUUGACUAAGGUUUCCAGAGGAAGGCUCGUCCGCUCUGGGUUAGUCGGGUCCUAAGCUGAGGCCGACAGGCGUAGGCGAUGGAUAACAGGUUGAUAUUCCUGUACCACCUAUAAUCGUUUUAAUCGAUGGGGGGACGCAGUAGGAUAGGCGAAGCGUGCGAUUGGAUUGCACGUCUAAGCAGUAAGGCUGAGUAUUAGGCAAAUCCGGUACUCGUUAAGGCUGAGCUGUGAUGGGGAGAAGACAUUGAGUCUUCGAGUCGUUGAUUUCACACUGCCGAGAAAAGCCUCUAGAUAGAAAAUAGGUGCCCGUACCGCAAACCGACACAGGUAGUCAAGAUGAGAAUUCUAAGGUGAGCGAGCGAACUCUCGUUAAGGAACUCGGCAAAAUGACCCCGUAACUUCGGGAGAAGGGGUGCUCUUUAGGGUUAACGCCCAGAAGAGCCGCAGUGAAUAGGCCCAAGCGACUGUUUAUCAAAAACACAGGUCUCUGCUAAACCGUAAGGUGAUGUAUAGGGGCUGACGCCUGCCCGGUGCUGGAAGGUUAAGAGGAGUGGUUAGCUUCUGCGAAGCUACGAAUCGAAGCCCCAGUAAACGGCGGCCGUAACUAUAACGGUCCUAAGGUAGCGAAAUUCCUUGUCGGGUAAGUUCCGACCCGCACGAAAGGCGUAACGAUUUGGGCACUGUCUCAACGAGAGACUCGGUGAAAUCAUAGUACCUGUGAAGAUGCAGGUUACCCGCGACAGGACGGAAAGACCCCGUGGAGCUUUACUGUAGCCUGAUAUUGAAAUUCGGCACAGCUUGUACAGGAUAGGUAGGAGCCUUUGAAACGUGAGCGCUAGCUUACGUGGAGGCGCUGGUGGGAUACUACCCUAGCUGUGUUGGCUUUCUAACCCGCACCACUUAUCGUGGUGGGAGACAGUGUCAGGCGGGCAGUUUGACUGGGGCGGUCGCCUCCUAAAAGGUAACGGAGGCGCUCAAAGGUUCCCUCAGAAUGGUUGGAAAUCAUUCAUAGAGUGUAAAGGCAUAAGGGAGCUUGACUGCGAGACCUACAAGUCGAGCAGGGUCGAAAGACGGACUUAGUGAUCCGGUGGUUCCGCAUGGAAGGGCCAUCGCUCAACGGAUAAAAGCUACCCCGGGGAUAACAGGCUUAUCUCCCCCAAGAGUUCACAUCGACGGGGAGGUUUGGCACCUCGAUGUCGGCUCAUCGCAUCCUGGGGCUGUAGUCGGUCCCAAGGGUUGGGCUGUUCGCCCAUUAAAGCGGUACGCGAGCUGGGUUCAGAACGUCGUGAGACAGUUCGGUCCCUAUCCGUCGUGGGCGUAGGAAAUUUGAGAGGAGCUGUCCUUAGUACGAGAGGACCGGGAUGGACAUACCUCUGGUGUACCAGUUGUCGUGCCAACGGCAUAGCUGGGUAGCUAUGUGUGGACGGGAUAAGUGCUGAAAGCAUCUAAGCAUGAAGCCCCCCUCAAGAUGAGAUUUCCCAACUUCGGUUAUAAGAUCCCUCAAAGAUGAUGAGGUUAAUAGGUUCGAGGUGGAAGCAUGGUGACAUGUGGAGCUGACAAAUACUAAUCGAUCGAAGACUUAAUCAA